GAAACUGAAGAUGUGCCAAAGAAGAAAGCGCCAGCCAGGAAGGCAGCAGCGAGAAAGAAUGCGCCCAACUUCAGCGAGAUAUCUGAUGAGGAAACUGGUGAUGAAAAGAUGCCAGUGAUAGCUGAGGAUGACGACGAUGAGGAUUUUGCAGUGGAGGUUUCUGCCCCGAAAGCUAAGAAAGGUGGCGGGCGGAAGCCUGCUGCGAACGCCAAACCACCGAAAGCCGCAG
RNAcentral lists this unclassified non-coding RNA (229 nucleotides) under Hevea brasiliensis (rubber tree). Lineage: Eukaryota; Viridiplantae; Streptophyta; Magnoliopsida; Malpighiales; Euphorbiaceae. The record is from RNAcentral.